This 382-nucleotide ribosomal RNA is filed under the name uncultured myxomycete. RNAcentral's name for it is "SSU rRNA". It matches the Rfam family "Eukaryotic small subunit ribosomal RNA", at positions 76 to 405 of the family's 1831-position model. The record is from RNAcentral. Lineage: Eukaryota; Evosea; Eumycetozoa.
UCUCUCUGAAUCUGCGAACGGCUCCGCAAACCAGUUGUAAACUCGAGUAAGCUAGUCUGGGGUGGCCUUCACGGGCUGCCCUGGGCGAUAUGGAUACCCCUGGUAAUUCUGAGGCUAAUACAGGACCGCAAAACUUGGAUGACCGGGCUUCGGCUUGGGAGCUGAGGGAUGUGUGCCCUACGGCUUGGGUUUAACCAGGAAGGGGUGCACUUUCAGACUGCGAUAAAAAGGAUUCCCUUUCCCUCGGGAAAGGGGACUGGCCCCAGCAGCUCUUACUGUGUGCUUCUGACCUAUCAACUAGACGGCAGCAUAAACGACAUGCUAUGGUUACAACGGGUACAGAGGAUUAGGGUUCGAUCCUGGAGAGUGGGCCUGAGAGAUU